GUCGAGAAUUUUUCUCAAUGGGCGAAAGCCUGAAGGAGCGACGCCGCGUGGGGGAUGAAUGGCUUCGGCCCGUAAACCCCUGUCAUUUGUGAACAAACCUCUCCGGUUAAUAGCCGGAGAGCUGAUAGUAGCAGAAGAGGAAGGGACGGCUAACUCUGUGCCAGCAGCCGCGGUAAUACAGAGGUCCCAAGCGUUGUUCGGAUUCACUGGGCGUAAAGGGUGCGUAGGUGGCCGGGAAAGUUCGGUGUGAAAGCUCCAAGCUCAACUUGGAAAUGUCAUCGAAAACUUCUUGGCUCGAGGAUUGAAAGGGAGACUGGAAUUCUCGGUGUAGCAGUGAAAUGCGUAGAUAUCGAGAGGAACACCGGUGGCGAAGGCGAGUCUCUGGGCAAAUCCUGACACUGAGGCACGAAAGCUGGGGGAGCAAACAGGAUUAGAAACCCGGGUAGUCC
This 449-nucleotide ribosomal RNA is filed under the name uncultured bacterium. RNAcentral describes it as "bacterial SSU rRNA". It matches the Rfam family "Bacterial small subunit ribosomal RNA", at positions 354 to 796 of the family's 1533-position model. The record is from RNAcentral.